Molecule: ribosomal RNA, 598 nt
Filed under: Meyerozyma guilliermondii
Lineage: Eukaryota; Fungi; Ascomycota; Pichiomycetes; Serinales; Debaryomycetaceae
Description: LSU rRNA
Rfam family: Eukaryotic large subunit ribosomal RNA (bases 63-598)
Source: RNAcentral
CAAACAUAAUCAGAGAUUAUCUUGAGGACAUUAAUGAAAUACCAAAGUCACGCAUGUUUUGGCCUCGCAAGAUUUGGGGCAAAUAUUCUGACAACCUAGAGGAUGUAUAUCAAUAAGCGGAAGUAAAAGAAACCAACACGGAUUGCCUUAGUAGCGGCGAGUGAAGCGGCAAAAGCUCAAAUUUGAAAUCUGGCGCCUUCGGUGUGCGAGUUGUAAUUUGAAGAUUGUAACCUUGGGGUUGGCUCUUCUCUAUGUUUCUUGGAACACGACGUCACAGAGGGUGAGAAUCCCGCGCGAUGAGAUGCCCAAUUCUAUGUAAGGUGCUUUCGAAGAGUCGAGUUGUUUGGGAAUGCAGCUCUCAGUGGGUGGUAAAUUCCAUCUAAAGCUAAAUAUUGGCGAGAGACCGAUAGCGAACAAGUCCAGUGAUGGAAAGAUGAAAAGAACUUUGAAAAGAGAGUGAAAAACUACGUGAAAUUGUUGAAAGGGAAGGGUUUGAGAUCAGACUCGAUAUUUUGUGAGCCUUGCCUUCGUGGCGGGGUGACCCGCAGCUUAUCGGGCCAGCAUCGGUUUGGGCGGUAGGAUAAUGGCGUAGGAAUGU